Molecule: transfer RNA, 72 nt
Filed under: Myotis davidii
Lineage: Eukaryota; Metazoa; Chordata; Mammalia; Chiroptera; Vespertilionidae
Rfam family: tRNA
About the family: Transfer RNA (tRNA) molecules are approximately 80 nucleotides in length. Their secondary structure includes four short double-helical elements and three loops (D, anti-codon, and T loops).
Source: Rfam by way of RNAcentral
GCCAGUGUAGCUCAGUGGUUGAGCGUCGAUCUCUGAAACAGGAGGUCACGGUUCAAUUCCCAGUCAAGGGCA